UUAACCUUCGUCUCGGGAAUGGGGAGUGUAUUCGUUGUUCGACCCACGUGAAAGUGAAAAACAGAUUUGCUUGAGGGCAAGCAAACGACAAGUGUGGGGAUGUGAUACGUGGUCGAAAACCGGUGAUCGUUUAUGCUUAAGUUGAUGUCUAAAAGAGUUUAAGGAGCUAAUCGGGAGCUAAACGGAGCACCGGGACGCGAACGGAUCAACCGGGGAUGUGAAAUGAAGAAAACCGGGUUAAUCACUAAGAAUGGAUGUAUUUUGGGGAAUGUUGAUGGAUUUAAAAUGAAUAUAUUGGAAGAUGGCAUGAUAGAGGGCUGAAUUACGAGAACGUGGGCGAAAACGAUGGCAUGAUAGAGGGCUGAAUUACGAGAACGUGGGCGAAAACGGUGAGUAAAACGGAGCUAUAACGAAAAAGUUAUGAAGAAAACAGUUUUGGACGAAACCGACAAAACCAGGCAGCGUCGGGGACGCCCAAAAGGGCCGUCGGCGACGCCCUCUGGAUUGUUCCGUCGGCCAAAAACCUCCGUAAACAGCUAAUUAAGCCGUCGGGCGAAACUGAGACUUCCAAGGGCCGUCGGGGACGCCCUAAAUGGCCGUCGGCGACGCCAUCUGCAUUCUCAUAUCGCGAAAAUACUUGAUUUUUGAGUUGGGGACGAGUUAUAACAUCAAUUUUGACCAAGAAACGGGGGUUACACAUUAUUUUGAAGUUUGAAUAUCAUCUUGGGGCCCCUAAUCACCAUCUUCACCUACCAUUCCACCAACCAUCCUCUCUACAACCCGAAUCAAGAACAAUUC
This 798-nucleotide long non-coding RNA is filed under the name Helianthus annuus (common sunflower). Its description in RNAcentral is "hypothetical non coding rna". Lineage: Eukaryota; Viridiplantae; Streptophyta; Magnoliopsida; Asterales; Asteraceae. The record is from RNAcentral.